UGACUGUACCCUACCUGCUAGACCUGAUAUUUCCGUGCCAACAACCACCGUAUAACUCCGGGGGUUAGCGUUGUUUAAUAAUUACUGGUGCUAGCGUUAAUCGAAAUUACUGGGCGUAUUGGGGGUGAAAUCCCUUGGUUCAACCCUGGAACUGCCUCCGGACUCCUGGUGUUAAGUUCAUUUGAAACUGGUGGACUUCCGUCUGGAAAAGGGAAAUGCAAUUACAUGUGUAGGAACGAAAUGGGUAAAUAUCUGUAAGAACAUCAAUGCUGAAGGUGACUCCCUGAACUGUGACUGACACUCAUGUUUAAAUGCCCGGGUAGUCCACACGAUUAAAUAUCCUGGCCAUCCACACCGUAAACUAUUGCUACUAGACGCGUCUAACUUAUUAACCUUUCCACCUGAGCUAACCCGCUAAAUAAUCCACCUGCGGAGGACUUGACCGAGGUUAAAACUCAAAUGAAUUGACGG
RNAcentral lists this ribosomal RNA (471 nucleotides) under uncultured bacterium. Its description in RNAcentral is "partial 16S ribosomal RNA". It matches the Rfam family "Bacterial small subunit ribosomal RNA", at positions 470 to 916 of the family's 1533-position model. The record is from RNAcentral.